UUGAGGGUAUUUCUUUGAGUUUUACUUAACUCAUUAUGUGCUAGGGUCCGCUAUAAAUUUGAGCUCGUGUACGGACACUCAUUCAAGGUUAUAGCCGUUUAUCUUUCACUUUCUUCAGAAAUGGACAGCAAGACUAUUAUCUCAAUAUUUUGUAUUCUGCUAGCAGCCUGUUUGAUGUUCGAAACAGAGGCACUUUUCGGUCUGGACCCCGACUUUAAUGCCGGGAAGAGAUCAUCUGUCUUGAAAUCAAGUAAUGUCCAGAGGGAUAUCAGAAACAUGUGUGCUACCAUGAACGAUGUUUGCAAAUGGAAAAAGGAAAGACUGCAGAAUAUAAAUCAGAAAAAGAUGGAAAAUUAACCUACAACAUGGAUCGCUUAUUGCUGAAUACGAAGUUUUUUAGGUUGGAGUAUAAAACCUUCGUGUGAAAUUAAUAAAAUGCUUGGCUUUA
Stylophora pistillata is the source of this 448-nucleotide long non-coding RNA. RefSeq lists it as uncharacterized. NCBI's taxonomy places the organism in Eukaryota, Metazoa, Cnidaria, Anthozoa, Scleractinia, Pocilloporidae. The record is from RefSeq and is a predicted model, not a curated record.